GACGAACGCUGGCGGCGUGCCUAAUACAUGCAAGUAGAACGCAGUUGCGAACGGGUGAGUAACGCGUAGGUAACUGCCUCAUAGCGGGGGAUAACUAUUGGAAACGAUAGCUAAUACCGCAUACUGUGAGAUGGACAUGCGUUGUAUUAGCUAGUUGGUGAGGUAAAGGGCCACCAAGGCGACGGUACAUAGCCGGCCUGAGAGGGAGAUCCACCACCACGGGAACUGGACACGGCCCAGACUCCUUACGGAAGCAGCAGUAGGGGAACUUCGGCAAUGGGGGGAAAUCUUACCCAGCAACGCCGCCUGGGGGAAGGAGGGUUUCGGAUCGUUAAACUCUUUUAUUUGAGAAGCGGUAACUAACCAGAAAGGGACGGCUAACUACGUGCCAGCAGCCGCGGUAAUAC
This 407-nucleotide ribosomal RNA is filed under the name uncultured bacterium. RNAcentral describes it as "partial 16S ribosomal RNA". It matches the Rfam family "Bacterial small subunit ribosomal RNA", at positions 28 to 526 of the family's 1533-position model. The record is from RNAcentral.